RNAcentral lists this ribosomal RNA (394 nucleotides) under uncultured bacterium. RNAcentral's name for it is "partial 16S ribosomal RNA". It matches the Rfam family "Bacterial small subunit ribosomal RNA", at positions 523 to 918 of the family's 1533-position model. The record is from RNAcentral.
AUACGUAGGUGACAAGCGUUAUCCGGAUUUACUGGGCGUAAAGGGCGUGUAGGCGGUCUUGCAAGUCAGACGUGAAAUUCCUGAGCUCAACUCGGGCGCUGCUUCUGAAACUGCAGGACUUGAGUGCUGGAGGGGAUAGCGGAAUUCCUAGUGGAGCGGUAAAAUGCGCAGAUAUUAGGAGGAACACCAGUGGCGAAGGCGACUUUCUGGACUGUAACUGACACUGAGGCACGAAAGCGUGGGGAGCAAACAGGAUUAGAUACCCUGGUAGUCCACGCCGUAAACGAUGAGCACUAGGUGUCGGGGAGACAAUCCUCGGUGCCGCAGUUAACGCAUUAAGUGCUCCGCCUGGGGAGUACGUUCGCAAGAAUAAAACUCAAAGGAAUGGGCGGGG